AUCGCUUCUCGGCCUUUUGGCUAAGAUCAAGUGUUGAUAUUGGUGUGUGCAUUCUCAGUUUUAUGGCAGUUUUGUUACUGACUUCAGUGGGCACAAAUUUGUGUCCAUUGGCCUCACUCUACAGAGCACCAGGGUGUGCUUGCAUAAAGUUGCAACAUGCUCUUUCCUCC
This is a non-coding RNA of Podarcis lilfordi (Lilford's wall lizard), 170 nucleotides long. The record is from the annotation of a GenBank genome assembly. NCBI's taxonomy places the organism in Eukaryota, Metazoa, Chordata, Lepidosauria, Squamata, Lacertidae.